This 497-nucleotide ribosomal RNA is filed under the name uncultured bacterium. Its description in RNAcentral is "partial 16S ribosomal RNA". It matches the Rfam family "Bacterial small subunit ribosomal RNA", at positions 28 to 507 of the family's 1533-position model. The record is from RNAcentral.
GAUGAACGCUGGCGGCGUGCCUAAUACAUGCAAGUCGAGCGAACAGACGAGGAGCUUGCUCCUCUGACGUUAGCGGCGGACGGGGGAGUAAAACGUGGAUAAACUACCUAUAAGACUGGGAUAAAUUCGGGAAAACGGAGCUAAUACGGUAGAAAAUAUUGAACAGCAGGGUUGAAUAGUGAAAGACGGUUUUGAUGACACUUAUAGAAGAAUACGCGCCGCAUUAGAUAGUUGGUAAGGUAACGGCAUACCAAGGCAACGAUGCGUAGCCGACAUGAGAGGGUGAACGGCUACACUGGAUCUGAGACACAGUCCAGACUCUUACGGGAGGCAGCAGUAGGGAAUCUUCCGCAAUGGACGAGAGCGUGACGGAGCAACGUCGCGUGAGUGAUGAUGGUCUUCGGAUCGGAGAACUCUGUUAUUUGUGAAGAACAAAUGUUUAAGUAACUAUGCACGUCUUGACGGUACCUAAUCAGAAAGCCACGGCUAACUACGUG